AUGCGUUUUGUGCGGCGCAUCCAGGAGUCUGAGGUGAAGGAGGCUUUAAAAAGGAUGAAAGGAGGCAAGGCGAUGGGCCCUGAUUGUAUCCCCAUUGAGGUGUGGAAAGGUCUCGGGGACAUAGCGAUAGUAUGGCUAACCAAGCUUUUCAACCUCAUUUUUCGGGCAAACAAGAUGCCAGAAGAAUGGAGACGGAGUAUAUUAGUACCAAUCUUCAAGAACAAGGGGGAUGUUCAGAGUUGUACUAAUUACCGUGGAAUUAAGCUGAUGAGCCAUACAAUGAAUCUAUGGGAGAGAGUCAUUGAGCACCGCUUAAGAAGAAUGACAAGCGUGACCAAAAAUCAGUUUGGUUUCAUGCCUGGGAGGUCGACCAUGGAAGCCAUUUUCUUGGUACGACAACUUAUGGAGAGAUAUAGGGAGCAUAAGAAGGACUUGCAUAUGGUGUUCAUUGACUUGGAGAAGGCCUAUGAUAAGAUACCGCGGAAUGUCAUGUGGUGGGCCUUGGAGAAACACAAAGUCCCAGCAAAGUACAUUACCCUCAUCAAGGACAUGUACAAUAAUGUUGUGACAAGUGUUCGAACAAGUGAUGUCGACACCGAUGACUUCCCGAUUAAGAUAGGACUGCAUCAGGGGUCAGCUUUGAGCCCUUAUCUUUUGCAUUGGUGA
This 666-nucleotide ribosomal RNA is filed under the name Triticum aestivum (bread wheat). RNAcentral's name for it is "partial small subunit ribosomal RNA". Lineage: Eukaryota; Viridiplantae; Streptophyta; Magnoliopsida; Poales; Poaceae. The record is from RNAcentral.